GGAAUGCCAGGACCAUUUGGAAAUGAUGCCAGCGAUGGGGCUGAUGGAGAGAAAGGACCUAAAGGUGAAAAAGGAAAUGACGGCCCUAAAGGACCAACAGGACCAAAGGGCAUGACUGGAUCAAAAGGAGAUAAGGGUGACAAAGGAAAUAUCGGACAGAAAGGAGCCAAAGGAGAAAGAGGU
Mytilus trossulus (common blue mussel) is the source of this 183-nucleotide long non-coding RNA. RefSeq lists it as uncharacterized. NCBI's taxonomy places the organism in Eukaryota, Metazoa, Mollusca, Bivalvia, Mytilida, Mytilidae. The transcript has 6 exons. The record is from RefSeq and is a predicted model, not a curated record.